RNAcentral lists this transfer RNA (72 nucleotides) under Candidatus Dadabacteria bacterium. RNAcentral describes it as "tRNA-Thr". It matches the Rfam family "tRNA". Rfam says of the family: Transfer RNA (tRNA) molecules are approximately 80 nucleotides in length. Their secondary structure includes four short double-helical elements and three loops (D, anti-codon, and T loops). Further hydrogen bonds mediate the characteristic L-shaped molecular structure. tRNAs have two regions of fundamental functional importance: the anti-codon, which is responsible for specific mRNA codon recognition, and the 3' end, to which the tRNAs corresponding amino acid is attached (by aminoacyl-tRNA synthetases). tRNAs cope with the degeneracy of the genetic code in two manners: having more than one tRNA (with a specific anti-codon) for a particular amino acid; and 'wobble' base-pairing, i.e. permitting non-standard base-pairing at the 3rd anti-codon position. RNAcentral also lists the same sequence under 1 other name. Lineage: Bacteria; Pseudomonadati; Thermodesulfobacteriota; Candidatus Dadabacteria. The record is from RNAcentral.
GCCGAUGUAGCUCAGUGGUAGAGCAGUUCACUCGUAAUGAUCAGGUCAGGGGUUCAACUCCCCUCAUCGGCU